UGUACCGCAAAAUAUAAAGUUAGUAAUGCUUCUCAUUCAUCAAAUGAAGAUUUAUUGAAUCUCUUUUGUGCCAGGCAUUUUGCUGAGCAAUAUGGGGAACAGAACUAGACGUUUUCUGUCUUAGACAAGUCAACUCAAAACACCAAAACGAUGCUUAGAGCUAUGGUAGAGCUACGCAGAUGGCAAUAUGAGAAAAGAAAGAUCAUUUAACUCAGCCAAGGCAGUGACUUUACAGAAAAAAAGUGUCUCUUGUUCACGCUAUUCGUCCAAUGAAGAUCGGCAGGACUGUGCUUCAGACCAACACUCACAGAACCAGGCUGAUGAAGGUGUCAUCAUCCUGUAACCCGCUAACUGGAACCUGAGACCUUCUCAGUCACUCUAGCAAGGGAAAGACCGUGGAGGCCUCUGCGCCAGCUCUUGAAUACUUUGGCCCAAAAGUAACACAUCACUUCUACCUCUACCCUGUUGGUGGAACUGGUCACGUGGCCCUAACCAAUCACAAAGAGGCUGAAAAUACAGCCUUAUGUGUGCCCAGAAGGGCAAGAAAACCAGGUAUUGGUUAAGACUAGUAAUGCCUGACUCACAAAGGAAACUGUAUAAUUAAAACUCUGAUAUUUCUACCAUUUUAUAUGCAGCAUACAGCUUUCCAUUCUAUCCAACUAUCAUUUCUUCAGGUUUAUCACACAAAUUUUGUACUCCACUCACGUUAAGAUUACAUGCAGUUCCCUGAACAUGCCCAGUUAUUUCACACUUGGAUUCAACAUGCAGCUUCAACAUGCAUCUUCAUGCCUUUGCAUCUCCUGUUUCCUCUGUCUGCUAUGUCCUUUUCUCUCAAGCUACAAAAUUACUUCCUUGAAACCUUCCCUAAUGCUCUCAAGGGCAGGACUGGGCAUUCCUCUUGCUCUGUGUAAUCACUAGAAAUCUUGUGGCAGAAUUCUUAACCUCUUACGUCCUUUCUCUUAAAACUCACCAGGCUCGCUGCUGGAAACACUUGUUUUCCAGAAGGUGGUGCUAAA
RNAcentral lists this long non-coding RNA (1016 nucleotides) under Equus asinus (donkey). Its description in RNAcentral is "lncRNA (ENSEASG00005038463.1)". The record is from RNAcentral. Lineage: Eukaryota; Metazoa; Chordata; Mammalia; Perissodactyla; Equidae.